Molecule: ribosomal RNA, 253 nt
Filed under: uncultured bacterium
Lineage: Bacteria
Description: partial 16S ribosomal RNA
Rfam family: Bacterial small subunit ribosomal RNA
Source: RNAcentral
UACGAAGGGGGCUAGCGUUGCUCGGAAUCACUGGGCGUAAAGGGUGCGUAGGCGGGUCUUUAAGUCAGGGGUGAAAUCCUGGAGCUCAACUCCAGAACUGCCUUUGAUACUGAGGAUCUUGAGUUCGGGAGAGGUGAGUGGAACUGCGAGUGUAGAGGUGAAAUUCGUAGAUAUUGGGAAGAACACCGGUGGCGAAGGCGGCUCACUGGCUCGUUUCUGACGCUCAGGCGUGACAGCGUGGGGAUCAAACAGG